Molecule: ribosomal RNA, 305 nt
Filed under: uncultured bacterium
Lineage: Bacteria
Description: partial 16S ribosomal RNA
Rfam family: Bacterial small subunit ribosomal RNA
Source: RNAcentral
ACAGCAGCCGCCGCGGUAAUACGGAGGGUGCAAGCGUUAAUCGGAAUUACUGGGCGUAAAGCGUGCGUAGGCGGUUCGUUAAGUCUGUUGUGAAAGCCCCGGGCUCAACCUGGGAAUGGCAAUGGAUACUGGCGAGCUAGAGUGUGUCAGAGGAUGGUGGAAUUCCCGGUGUAGCGGUGAAAUGCGUAGAGAUCGGGAGGAACAUCAGUGGCGAAGGCGGCCAUCUGGGACAACACUGACGCUGAGGCACGAAAGCGUGGGGAGCAAACAGGAUUAGAUACCCCGGUAGUCCCUGUCUCUUAUAC